Molecule: non-coding RNA, 71 nt
Organism: Podarcis lilfordi (Lilford's wall lizard)
Lineage: Eukaryota; Metazoa; Chordata; Lepidosauria; Squamata; Lacertidae
Source: the annotation of a GenBank genome assembly
GGGCCAUAGCUCAGUGGUAGGGCAUCUGCUUUCCACGCAGAAGGUUCUAGGUUUGAUCCCCUGCAUCUCCC